This is a ribosomal RNA of Cercocebus atys (sooty mangabey), 137 nucleotides long. Lineage: Eukaryota; Metazoa; Chordata; Mammalia; Primates; Cercopithecidae. The record is from Ensembl.
GUCUAUGGCCACAUCACCCUGGAUGUAGCUGAUCUUGUCUGAUCUCGGAAGCUAAGCAAGUUUGGGCCUGCUUAGUACUUGGAUGGGAGAAAAUAUAAUGAUGUAUGAUCAUUAAACAACAUGUGAAGUGGUAUACU